This 7894-nucleotide long non-coding RNA is filed under the name Jatropha curcas. RNAcentral's name for it is "long non-coding RNA (JCUR_LNC000541)". The record is from RNAcentral. Lineage: Eukaryota; Viridiplantae; Streptophyta; Magnoliopsida; Malpighiales; Euphorbiaceae.
UCGGGCAUAAGCCCUCCCUCCUCCCCACCUCAAAUGUUUUUGAACUUUCCCAAUCACCGGCUCGUGUUAGGCCAGCAGCGACCUCCUCCCUGCCGCCGUUGUCUCACCACCGUUCUCUCCCUCUCCAUUUCUUUUUUCGACUGGUAUUGUGCUAGAGUGUGAGCUGCCUUCGUUUUUCCGAUCGGAGCAGCUCCACCUCAGCCCCUUUUUCCUUGACUUUUCCGGCAACGCCAACCAUAACCGGCCAACCUACUUCGUCUCUAGCGUCUCAAAUGACUGCUCUUCCAUCUCCGGUCACCAGUAGCUCACGAUUUAGCAACAAAAGAGAGGAACUGCGAACUGCGGUUCCAUUUUCUCGAUCGGCACAACCUCUUUCAACAUUUUAUUUCGAUUUUUCUGCGAGACCAGCCAAGGACCGGCCGGUUAGACUCUUCCUUUGUCUCUAACAGCUUCGCCGGCCAUGGUCCUCAUCAGUUCUGCACGUUAACACCGACAGAAUCGGAUUUUGAAUAUUGGGGCUGUUUUCAGUCAUUUUAACCGGAAAUAUUCAGUUUUUCCGACAUUUUUCGUAACUGGGUAAGCAAUUUCCAACCUUCUCUUGAUAAUAUAUGUUGAUUAGAGCAACAAUCAAAGUUUGUGAAGAGAUUAUGAUUUCUAGCUACUGUUCACGCUAUCUUACCAGAGAAAUUUGAUUGUUCAUACGAAGUUUUAGGCUAUAACUAAUUUGAUGAGUAAUUUAGCAUGAUUAGGAUGAUUUUAGCCUUAAAAUUGGUAUAAGAUGGAAACAACAGCAGCUAGCUAAGAUUCCAAGGUACUGUUUUUAUUAAAAACUUGAGAAAACCUUGGAUUUAAUUGUUAACCUUAAGCACUGAUUGUAAUUUGAUGAGAAAUUGAGAACUAUAUUUAGUUAUUUCAGAUUUUUAUUGAGAAGUUAGGAGUUUUUGUGCAAUGACAACAACUAUCUUUGUUAUAUUACCUGAACUAUGGGUUUGGAACGAAGUAUAUGAUAUUGUGAAUGUAGUUUUCAUUGGGGAAUGAGUUAAUUGGCAUAUGUUAUAAGGGUUAUGCUUAUAAAAUGUUGAUUCCCUUAGGUUGGCAGCUCUCUUUUUGAUAAUUGGUGCUAUCUAAGAUGAACUUAGGUAGGAAUGAUUAUAUUUUCAUUAUUUUUCAUGUUAGUUAUUAUUAAACAGCUUUAUUCUUACGAGACAACUGCUCAAUCAUAGAAUUCUUUAGUUAAGAAAAAGCUAUGGAUUGUAAUUUUAUGCCGGAGUGGAGUAAAAACUUUAUGAGCUUUAGUAGAAUCAUGCUUAGGUCUGUGAAUUCAGUUGUUUAACAGACUUUAGCUAUUAAAUUUUAAUUUAAAUAUCUAUUCAUAGUACCAUUUUAGAGUUCUGCUAUUGCAUUCUGUGUGGGCUGUACUUAUAAAGUGACUGAUUAUUAUACGUAUAUAUUUUAUUCAUUUAUAAAUAAUCUAUAUAAAUAUUGGAUAGGGCCCAAAUUCCUUGUGAACUGUUACUUGAAGAAUUGGGCCUAAGGUUGUGUAUGUGAACAGAAUAGUGAAUCCAGUAUGUUGAGGCUUACUGCGAGCCUUGGAGGCCUUAAGCCUACCCAAGUGCUUGUGUCGGUCGGGCCCAUAGUGACAGGUCGCGACAAAGUUUGUAUCAGAGCAUAAGUUGGUUCUUGGGAAUCAAUUGCGGAACUUAGGGCACUGUAUGUAGAACUCCUAUGUUGGGAUCGGCCGUAACCAGCAGAGGAGGUGUGUUUUAGAUUGGAAUGCAUUCUAGUGCUAGUGGACGCACCAUGCACUAGAGUGGAUGAAAAUCUAUCAGCAGUAGUAUGAGUCACAAGAAGGAUAGAUUCGAUAUUAGGCAUACGCUUUAAAUAUUAAAUGUUGAAGAAGGUUUAUUUAGGAAUGCAUGACUCACUGGUUUUCAGACUCAGUAAUGAUUGGAGUAGUUGAGAUGGGCUGAUCACCCAUUGCACUUUCCUCCAAUGAUGACUGUGUUUCUGACUAGUGAGCAAGUGCUAACCAUUAAUAAUAAUUUCUAAUUUUGCCAUUAGGUUAUGGAAGUGGAACUAAGCAAUUAUUAGUGGGAAAAUAUUGGGGAAUAAGAGGUUUAUGGAGAAACAAUUUGUUUGGUAGUUUAUAGUAUAGAAUAAAGGAACUUAGUUAGGUAUGAUAGAAACAGUUAGGGGUAAUGAUUGGACUCUUAAAUAAUUGCAUAGUGAUUAAAAUGGACAUGCUAAUAGUGUAAGAAUAUAUCUAGACAAUUACACUUCACCUUUAUAUUUUAACCCUAGAAAGAGUUAUCAUACUUGAAUUGCUAGUAUUGUAGAGUAUCAGAAGACUGUGUCAGAAGCAUUGCUUUGCGACCUCAUCAUGUAGACUUAAGAGAGUAGUAGAGCUCGAUGCUGUGUAAGUAGAAUUUGAAACUUCAAGGCUGUGUAUACCUCAGGAUUGUCCAACCUGAAAUUUCAUAUAGAAAUGAAUAAAUUAUUUAGCUUAAUACAGAUUUUGGUAAAGGAAUUAAGGAAUUUUGAAAUGGCAGUAGCUAAUCUAAUUAUUUGCUAAUAUUAUUACUUUGGUAUGGGACAUAUGAUGUGAUAAAUCAAGUUCUUGGUGAGAAAGGAGUUAAUGGGCAAGAAAUGUAUGGGUUCUAAUCAAAAAAUUCUGAUUUCUUUAGCUUGGCAGCAUCUAGCUAGUAAAAUUUUAUGAGUUAUCUCAAUUGGACCUAUAUGCUGAUCCUACAAAAAUAUUAUGUGCAAGUAACGAGAAUUGUUGAUAAUAACUAAGGAUGAGAUUUAUAAAGAAUCAUGAGUUAUAGCUUGAGAUGGCAACAAAUGUGAUUUAAAUGUAAUUUCUUGAUGUGAAGUAAUAAAAUUAGUAAUUUCUAAUAUUAACUGCAUUUUUUUUUAAAUCACUUAUUUUAUUAGAUAGAGAAUGAAUGUUAUACUUAUGUCCUUAAUAGGACAGAAAGGAAUUGGGGCUAUUUUAUUUGUUCGUAAGUUAGCUAGUUUGUGAUUUACUAUUUAUAUGGAAAUUUUGAGAAAUUCUUUGUUUAAUCUUGCUAUAUGAGAAGUGCUAAAGCUGUAACUUGUAAUUUAGAAAGCAAAAUAUGAUUUUCUUAGGAUAAUUUGAUGGAUUUGAAGUUUGAAUUAUAGAUGUGUAGAAGUUAGGGUUCAUGGAGCCCUAUUCAUGCAAUUAGAUGGGAAUGAAUUUGGAUUUAAUUGCCAACCAAUUUUGUAAACUGAAUUCAUGAUAUUAAGAGUUAUAUGAUUACUAUAAAUUGUGUUUUGUUGUAAUGGCAGAAGUUAUAUGGGAAUCUCCAUGGCUUUUAUAUCAAACAAGUUAAGAAUUCAAAUUAUACACCAAUUUCUUGCAAGAUAAUAAGGAAAUUGAUGCUUUUAUUGCUAGCUUAGGUUGAGAUUUGAGGUCUGUUGGUGCAUGGUAGCAGCCAGGUUGAAGAAUUUCAUAAAUUUUUGCUUGAGUUUGAAUUAAUAAUAGUGCUAUAAACUCAUUCACUUCAUUUGUAUUAGAAAAGGGUAGAGUUGAAAUGGUAAAAAGUAAGAGGUGAAAAUGUGGAUGUUGUCUUACUUGGGCUUGGGCCAACCAAUGCUAAAGUGUUAGUACUAACCAAUUAGCUAGUCCGCUUGCCACCCUUAUAUGCCCAUUAUGGAUUUGUUAUUUAGUCGAUGUGGGAUUUUUAACAUUCCCUCUCAAGAGUAACUGGGACUUCCGGUUGACACUUGAAAAAUGAAACUCCCCGGUUGACACUUGAAAAAUGAAACUCCCCCUGAAACUGAAAUGGGCUUUUCGCCCUUGAAAUCGAAUGUGCCUCGAUGGGACUGCACAUCCAGACGAGAGCUCGAAUUGAAACGCAGUGGAGAAUAAUUGAAACCGGGUCGGACCUACUCUGAUAACAUAUUAGAAAUGGAAAAGGUAGAGGUGAAAUGGGUAAUAGGUAAGAGCCCAUUAUGUGAAAAUGUAGAUGUGGGCUUACUUGGGCUUGGGUCAACCAAAGUUAAAAAUUUAGUACUAACCAAUUAGCUAGCUAGCUUGCUACCCUUAUAUGCCCAUUAUGGAUUUAUUAUUUAGUCGAUGUGGUAUUCUUAACAAUUUGGUAGCAAUCUUAGUAGUAUUUAAUGAUGGAUUUUAGAAAAUGAGAGAAUCAUGAGAAGGGUAGCAGCAAACUUGAUUAAUUGUUCAAAAUUUUGCAAUGAUAAGAAGAAAAGAUGUUGUAUAUUGAAAUUUUGAUAAGCCAUAAAUGAGCAAUGAACGGAUCAAUGUAUUCCUACAAGUUUUGGUAAGGAGAUUAUUGUUUUCUUAUUAUGACAAGAGUUAUACUGUUAAUUUUCAUGAGUUUGGCAGUACUUAGAUUUGAAAGGAAGGUUGUAUAUUUAUCAUAAAUAGGAAAUGAAUUAAUUUGCAUAUGGAAAACGAGUUUUAAUUAGAUAAUAGUAGUUCCUUUUGAUUGACGGUUGAAACUAUUGAAUACAAGUUAAGGUCGAAUCAAUUUCCCAGUCCCAUAUUAGUUAAAGGAGAAUUUCUGCAGUUAAGGCCUAUGAUGGAUAAAUAACAAGUUAAGAAGUUAAUAAGCGGGAUUUGGAAGCAGGAGAUGUCGAGUCCUAGCUAUGUUUAACUCUCCUUUGCGGAUUGCAUGAUCUUCCUUUUCCCAAUUCUCUAUAACCUAACUGAACUUCGAGGACGAAUUUUCGUAAGAGGGGGAGGGGGAGACCGAGACAACCCUGAAUUUCAAUUUUCAAAGUUUUUCAUUUAAAAUUUUAAUUAUUAAUUUUAAGCCUAUGAUAUUAUAGAACAUUGUUUUAUUUAAAUUAAACAUAUUAAAACCUUGUGAAUUUAUUUAAUAAAAUUCAAUACAAAUACAUUUUGUAUAGCUAAACUAAAUCUAAAAAUUAAAUUAAACCCAUUAGAAAUCCCUAAACCAAUUGAAAAAACCAAGUAAAAACCUAUGAUUUGGCCAAACCAAACCCUAAUCAACUCGAACCAACCCCAACCAACUAGAAAACUAUAUGUUGGAAAUUCUCAUUUUGUCCUAAAACUAUCUUCUCCCUUCUUCCUAAUCGGGCAUAGCCUGCCCUCUCCCCUCAUAUUUUUUGAACUUUGGCUUGUGUCCGGCCAGCAACAACCUCCUCCCUGCCACUGUUGCCUCACCGUUGUUCCUCCCCCUCCAUUUCUUUUUUCGACUGGCACAUUGAUGGAGUGUGAGCUGCCUUUGUUUUUCCGAUCAGAGCAGCUCCACCUCAGCCCCUUUUUCCUUGACUUUUCUGGCGACGCUAGCCAAAACCGACCAACCUACUUUGUCUCUAGCAUCUCACACCACUGUUCUUCCAUCUCCGGUUACUAGAGCUCGCGAUUUAGCGAGAAAAAAGAGGAACAGCAAAGCUGUGGUUCCAUUUUCUCAACUGGCACAACCUCCGCCAAUAUUUUAUUUUGAUUUUUCGAUGAGACCAGCCAAGGACGGGCCGUUUAGACUCUUCCAUCGUCUCUAACAGCUUUGCCGGCCAUGGUCCUCAUCAGUUCUGCAUGUUAACGCCGACAGAAUCGGAUUUUGAAUAUUGGAGUUGUUUUCGAUCAUUUUAACCGGAAAUAUUUAGUUUUUCCAACCUUUUUUGUCACUGGGUAAGCAAUUUCCAACCUUCUCUUGGUAAUAUAUGUUGAUUAGAGCAAAAAUCAAAGUUUGUGAAGAGAUUAUGAUUUCUAGCUACUGUUCACGCUAUUUUACUAGAGAAAUUUGAUUUUUCAUACUAAGUCUAGGUUAUAACUAAUUUAAUGAGUAAUUUAGCAUGAUUAGGAUGAUUUUAGCCUUAAAAUUGGUAUAAGAUGGAAACAACAGCAGCUAGCUAGAUUCCAAGGUACUGUUUUUAUGAAAAACUUGAGAAAACCUUGGAUCUAAUUAAGCUUAAGCACUAAUCAUAAUUUGAUGAGAAAUUGAGAAUUAUAUUUAGUUAUUUCAGAUUUUUAUUGAGAAGUUAGGAGUUUUUGUGCAAUGGCAGCAACUAUCUUUGUUAUCUUACCUGAACUAUGGGUUUGGAACGAAGUACAUGAUAUUGUGAAUGUAGUUUUCAUUGGGGAAUGAGUUAAUUGGCAUAUAUUAUAAGAGUUUUGCUCAUAAAAUGUUGAUUCCCUUAGGUUGGUAGCUCUCUUUUUGGAUAAUUGGUGUUGUCCAAGAUGAACUUAGGUAGGAAUGAUUAUAUUUUUAUUAUUUUCAUGUUAGUUAUUAUUAAACAGCUUUAUUCUUACUAGACAACUGCUUUAAUCAUAGAAUUCUUUAGUUAAGAAAAAGCUAGGAAUUGUUAAUUUAUGCCGGAAUGGAGUAAAAACUUUAUGAGCUUUAGUAGAAUCAUGCUUAGGUCUGUGAAUUCAGUUGUUUAACAGACUUUAGCUAUUAAAUUUUAAUUCAAAUAUCUAUUCAUAGUACGAGUUUAGAGUUCCGCAAUAGCAUUCUGUGUGGGCUGUAAUUAUAAAGUGAUUGAUUAUAUAUAUAUAUAUAUAUAUAUAUAUAUAUAUAGAUGAAUAAUCUAUAUAAAUAUUGGAUAGAGCCCAGAAUACUUGUGAAUUGUUACUUGAAGUAUUGGGCCUAAGGUUGUGUAUGUAAACAGAAUACUGAAUCCAGAUUGUUAGAGGAUUACUAAGGGCCAUGGAGGUUUUAAACCCAUCUAGGUCCUAGUGUUGGUACAAUCCAUAGUGACGUGUUGUGACAUGAACUAUCGUUUCUCCUAGUGACCCCUUGAACUUUGCGAGGAUUCUAUCUUGAUCUUGUAGUAACAAAUCCUUCAACCUCUCGCCACGUAAGAAAUGAAGAACGUGCAUUCAAAUGCGUUUGGGAGAGUGAAACUGAUUUUCUUUGUUAAGUGAAUGUCCCACGUGGCAUGAUUCUUAAUUAGUUUGUUUCUCCAGAAUUGAUCUCAUGAACAAUGUCUCUUUCUCUCUCUCCAAAAUCUAUCUCAUAAAGAGUGUCAUUCUUCUUCUUUUUUAAUUGUUGAGGGUGUGCUUCAUUUCUGCAUCUAUACUUGUACUAUUUAUUUAAAUUUGUUUUUAAUCGCUUAUGAUAAUCAAAUGAGUGAUGGUUUCUUUUAUGUUGUUAUUAAAUCUAGGUGUAAUUAUAUGCAAAUGCAAUCUCUUUAAGUCUUAAAAUAUAGGUUUGAUGUUAAAUUUUUUCUACAUCUACAAUUUAAUUUUCUGAGAUUUUUUAGAUUAAUUACUACAAGAUUUUUUUUCAAAAUUUCUAAAAUAAUCAAAUCUUUAUUUCUCAUAACCUUUUUCUUUAUUUGGAUGGUGAACACAAUAAUCUCCAAAACAAAGCAUUUUGGGUGGCUUAGAAGGAAAAGAAGAAGAGGAAGAGAGACGAGGGUAAUGGUUAUAUCAACACCAACAACAUCAUUAUCCUCAUCAAAAAAUUGUAGCUAAUAAAAAAUACAGUACUGGAAUCUAAAUGGUCACCAUUAUUAUCAAGCAUCAUAAAAUUCACAGUUUUGAAGAGAGAAAUUUUUGUAUGCCUUAAUAUCAAUUUCUUUAUCUGAGUUAGCGGCGAUGAUGGCGGCGGCGAAGGGGGUUAUAAAUAGAAAAAGGUAGGUGUAGAGUACAGAGCAAACGAGGGACAGUUGUUAGGGUUUGGGUUUAGUGGGAUUAUUUUCAAGAUUAGACUUCGAUUUGUGGUGUGUUUUUAAUUAGUUAAAGCCACUGGGCCACGUAGUUUCAACCAAAUAUUUUGUACAAUUGGCAUUUUUUCUUACGUGGAUUGUGGAUUAUAAUUUACGCACUGUGCAUUUCACUUCUUUUUCACUUUGUGGCAAUCGGUACGGUUAUUGAAGGAUUGUUUAGUACAGAGUCACUGCAAAAUUCAGGGGGCCACUAGGAGAAACGGAUAUAGGC